UAAUGUGAGGGCAAACCUCCUGAUCCCCAGAAGUUGAUUCAGCUGUUCUGGCUGGCUAGGUGAAUGAUCCCUUCCUUCCUCAAUGCUCCAUGUGCCUCCCUCCUGAAGCUGCGUGAUUGGUCGAACAGAGUGACCACUCCCAAUAAAGGAGGUCAAGGGUAUAGAGUAGCUGUGGUCCCCUGCUAGAACCUUGAAGCAAGCUCUCAAGAAAGGCUUAUAAUUCCUGAAUGUGUAAUUGGAGUGGUUUCUAGUUGAUGUGCUUAAAAGCACUUCUUAAAGUGGCUUUAUUUAAUUAUUACAUGGUUCUUGAUU
Unclassified non-coding RNA from Cavia porcellus (domestic guinea pig), 312 nucleotides. Its record names the gene 7SK. It matches the Rfam family "7SK RNA". Rfam says of the family: 7SK was discovered as an abundant small nuclear RNA in the mid-70s but a possible function has only recently been suggested. The record is from Ensembl. Lineage: Eukaryota; Metazoa; Chordata; Mammalia; Rodentia; Caviidae.